Molecule: long non-coding RNA, 287 nt
Filed under: Brassica napus (rape)
Lineage: Eukaryota; Viridiplantae; Streptophyta; Magnoliopsida; Brassicales; Brassicaceae
Description: long non-coding RNA (BNAP_LNC021380)
Source: RNAcentral
GGGGGGCGUAGCGGCCCUUGUUGUGGCCGCUAGGGUGGCCGCUAGGUACAGAGGGGCGUAGCGGCCUUUGUUAUGGCCGCUAGAUCAGGCUGCUGUGCCCCGGAUUUUCAUGGAAUUAAAUGGAGUUUUCCUCAGAUUGAUUUGGAGUUUCUCCAAUGGCCUAUGCAGUGCCCACUAGAUGUGGCCGCUACGGAUAGGUGUUGUGGUAAAAAACGGUCACGACGGAAUUAACGCUUGAAUAUCGUCAAAAAAUACUUUUCAAAGAAGUAAUUUUCGUAAAAAUUACU